GACGAACGCUGGCGGCGUGCUUAACACGUGCAAGUCGAACGGAAAGGCCCUGCUUUUGUGGGGUGCUCGAGUGGCGAACGGGUGAGUAACACGUGAGUAACCUGCCCUUGACUUUGGGAUAACUUCAGGAAACUGGGGCUAAUACCGGAUAGGAGCUCCUGCUGCAUGGUGGGGGUUGGAAAGUUUCGGCGGUUGGGGAUGGACUCGCGGCUUAUCAGCUUGUUGGUGGGGUAGUGGCUUACCAAGGCUUUGACGGGUAGCCGGCCUGAGAGGGUGACCGGCCACAUUGGGACUGAGAUACGGCCCAGACUCCUACGGGAGGCAGCAGUGGGGAAUAUUGCACAAUGGGCGGAAGCCUGAUGCAGCAACGCCGCGUGCGGGAUGACGGCCUUCGGGUUGUAAACCGCUUUCGCCUGUGACGAAGCGUGAGUGACGGUAAUGGGUAAAGAAGCACCGGCUAACUACGUGCCAGCAGCCGCGGUGAUACGUAGGGUGCGAGCGUUGUCCGGAUUUAUUGGGCGUAAAGGGCUCGUAGGUGGUUGAUCGCGUCGGAAGUGUAAUCUUGGGGCUUAACCCUGAGCGUGCUUUCGAUACGGGUUGACUUGAGGAAGGCAGGGGAGAAUGGAAUUCCUGGUGGAGCGGUGGAAUGCGCAGAUAUCAGGAGGAACACCAGUGGCGAAGGCGGUUCUCUGGGCCUUUCCUGACGCUGAGGAGCGAAAGCGUGGGGAGCGAACAGGCUUAGAUACCCUGGUAGUCCACGCUGUAAACGGUGGGUACUAGGUGUGGGGUCCAUUCCACGGGUUCCGUGCCGUAGCUAACGCUUUAAGUACCCCGCCUGGGGAGUACGGCCGCAAGGCUAAAACUCAAAGGAAUUGACGGGGCCCCGCACAAGCGGCGGAGCAUGCGGAUUAAUUCGAUGCAACGCGUAGAACCUUACCUGGGUUUGACAUGAAUCGGGAGUGCUCAGAGAUGGGUGUGCCUCUUUUGGGGUCGGUUCACAGGUGGUGCAUGGCUGUCGUCAGCUCGUGUCGUGAGAUGUUGGGUUAAGUCCCGCAACGAGCGCAACCCUUGUUCACUGUUGCCAGCACGUUAUGGUGGGGACUCAGUGGAGACCGCCGGGGUCAACUCGGAGGAAGGUGGGGAUGACGUCAAGUCAUCAUGCCCCUUAUGUCCAGGGCUUCACGCAUGCUACAAUGGCUGGUACAGAGAGUGGCGAGCCUGUGAGGGUGAGCGAAUCUCGGAAAGCCGGUCUCAGUUCGGAUUGGGGUCUGCAACUCGACCUCAUGAAGUCGGAGUCGCUAGUAAUCGCAGAUCAGCAACGCUGCGGUGAAUACGUUCCCGGG
This 1343-nucleotide ribosomal RNA is filed under the name uncultured bacterium. RNAcentral describes it as "16S ribosomal RNA". It matches the Rfam family "Bacterial small subunit ribosomal RNA", at positions 28 to 1378 of the family's 1533-position model. The record is from RNAcentral.